This 71-nucleotide transfer RNA is filed under the name Percopsis transmontana (sand roller). RNAcentral describes it as "tRNA-Tyr". It matches the Rfam family "tRNA". Rfam says of the family: Transfer RNA (tRNA) molecules are approximately 80 nucleotides in length. Their secondary structure includes four short double-helical elements and three loops (D, anti-codon, and T loops). The record is from RNAcentral. Lineage: Eukaryota; Metazoa; Chordata; Actinopteri; Percopsiformes; Percopsidae.
GGUGGGGUGGCUGAGAGCCCAAGCGGUGGAUUGUAGCCCCACAGACAGAGGUUGGACCCCUCUCCCCACCA